Molecule: ribosomal RNA, 254 nt
Filed under: uncultured bacterium
Lineage: Bacteria
Description: partial 16S ribosomal RNA
Rfam family: Bacterial small subunit ribosomal RNA
Source: RNAcentral
UACGUAGGGGGCAAGCAGUUGUCCGGAUUCAUUGGGCGUAAAGAGCGUGUAGGCGGCCAGGUAGGUCGGUUGUGAAAACUGGAGGCUCAACCUUCAGAGGUCGACCGAAACCAUCUGGCUAGAGUCCGGGAGAGGAGAGUGGAAUUCCUGGUGUAGCGGUGAAAUGCGCAGAUAUCAGGAAGAACACCCGUGGCGAAAGCGGCUCUCUGGAACGGUACUGACGCUGAGACGCGAAAGCGUGGGGAGCGAACAGG